CUGCAUUGUUAUUUUGUCAAUCCGGGGCAGCAUGCCCUUGGCUCAGAGGAUGUUCCUUCUCCUAGUCCUGUCUGUAGGCAGAGGGUCAGAGAGCUGGAUCAUUUCCAUUAAGGCACGUUUCCUACAGCCUUGGCCUAUACGGCAGGCUGAUCUGUGUAUCUGAGGUCAUGCUGGGGUGGCUGGAAGAAAUCCAGAGUGUGCAGGGAAGGCCUGGAGCCUGCGUGGGGUGAGCAGUGUAUUGGGGUGGCUCUGGGGACAGUAUGAGAGCCAGACCUGAACUUCUCAACUUCUCAAUUCCAGAGAGAGGCAGGGAAAAGUGCUUCGGGAUGACCUCCUUGUUGCAUGAGAUUUCCUUCUUUCACUGGUGCUCUUGGGGUAAGAUGUGAUCCUGUUCUGAGCCAGUCUCAUCUUUGCAGAUUGAAGAGAAGCACAAGCAGGGCAGCUUUUAAACUGGCCUGAGAAAAAUAUUCAAUUCUUCUGUGGAUUUCACAUUGCAGACAACCUAAGAACAAACUGCAGAAGUGUGCUCCUUCUUUGAAGACUGCCACAGGUGGAGAUGGAGACCUCAGAGCAUGAGAGACUCUCCAGAUGUGUAAGGUGGCAGUAUCAUGGAGUCUCCCAGAUCAGCCACAAAAUGACAUUACUUUUUCUAAUGGGUUGCUCAGAGUCAGCCCAACCCACAGCAAAAGCCAGAGAUCUGUUGUGAGCAGGCCAGCCUGACCUCUAUGUCGGAACAAGCUACCACAGCUCAACAGGUGUGACAUCCCUCCUCAAGCUGUGGGACCACAUGCCUGAACCCCACAGACCCUUUUGUCACCUUCUGAACUCUAUUUGUGAACAGUGUGAAAAGCCUGCGGCAGUAGUGUUUAGAAAAACCACACCACUCUCUAACUUUCUGUGCUGGUGAUCUACAUGGAGGCAGAACUCAAAUUCUGGCUUGGUUUUGGUGAAGAAUAUACUUUAAUUAAUUAACAUUUGUUCCUCUCCUCAAAUAAUUCUACUCCCAGCUCUCACACAUCUAGUAACAGGGAGUACCCAUCCCAGAAAUUAUAAAGCUGCUUGCCAACUCCAGGAAAAUCAGUGUGAAAUCAACAAUAUGAAGCCCUGUGGAUUGUGCUCCUGCAAUGGACCAUUUCCUCUGUGCUGGCCGUUCAGAUGCAAGAUCGCACGAGCUAAUUUAGAUAAGAAAGAACUUUACAGCAGGGCUGUACGAUAAGAGAAUCCAGAAACUAGUGCUGAGGGGAAGAGAACAGAGUCCGAAGAAGGAAAGGGUAGGAGGAAUUUCCUGUUGAAAGGAAAGACGCACACACGUAUGCAAUCAAAAUAGCAGCCAGAAACCCACAAAACGUAUGGUUUCCCCCAAAGCUGACACUCACUUUAACAGUUCCUUAAGGGACAGGAGAGAAGGAUAAAUACAUUGUAGGGAAGGAUGGUAAACCAUCACCCUACCCAAAGCCACAAAUCUGUUGCUGUUAGUGGAAAAAUAUCUAUCAGUAACAGUAGUCAUGGUGUUUUUAAGGGCUUGAUCCAAUUUAUGGCAAUUGUUGGAUAGGAAAACUUCUGUUCCAUCCAUCAGUCUGGGUGGAUAAGGGCCCACAUCCUCAGCUGCUGCCCAAAAGCUGUGUAGCUCAUGAUCGUCUGUACAGAUAUGCUUUCCCAACACAAAGCUUAGCUGCCUGCCAGCAGUUCCCUCACUCUAAUUUUGGACUAGAGAUAGGAGAAAUAUUCCCAACAGUGUUGUUGUGGCACUGGGAUCAAAAUGAGUGUUAUCAGGGGAAAGGGUAGGAGGCAUCAGGCAGGUUUUUUUCCCACCAUCUCUCCUUUCUCCUUAUCUUUCUGUCUCACUGCCUGAAAAGUGGUAGCUAGAAUUUGUUGGUUUAAAAAAAAAAAAAAAAGGGAUGGGAUGGG
Molecule: long non-coding RNA, 1908 nt
Organism: Gallus gallus (chicken)
Lineage: Eukaryota; Metazoa; Chordata; Aves; Galliformes; Phasianidae
Source: Ensembl